GUGAGCGGCAAGAGCUCAGAUUUGAAAUCGCAGCGCAUGCUGCCAGUUGGAAAUUGGCGGGGGGAAAAUCUGGCUAAGGCGGUGGCCAAAUCCCUUGGAACCGGGCGCCCCUGGAGGUGAAAACCCCCUGGGAAGGCCCCCUCUACCUUUUGGACUCCCCCCUGAACAAUCCAGUUGGUUGGGAAUGGCACUCUUAAUGGGGGGGAAAUUCCCUCCAAAGGUAAAUACUGGCGAAAAAACCAAUGCCAAAAAAUACUGGGAAAGAAAAAAGAAAAGCACUUUUAAAAAAAAAUGGAACCACCCGUGGAAUUUGUGAAAGGGAAGGGGAUUGGGCCCCAACUGGGAAUCCCGCACCGCUGCUCCUUGGGGGCGGGGCUUUGGGCUUUUCCUGGG
RNAcentral lists this ribosomal RNA (393 nucleotides) under Pichia sp. EXF-5650. RNAcentral's name for it is "partial 26S ribosomal RNA". It matches the Rfam family "Eukaryotic large subunit ribosomal RNA", at positions 93 to 488 of the family's 3401-position model. The record is from RNAcentral. Lineage: Eukaryota; Fungi; Ascomycota; Pichiomycetes; Pichiales; Pichiaceae.